UGGGGAAUAUUGGACAAUGGGGGAAACCCUGAUCCAGCAAUGCCGCGUGUGCGAUGAAGGCCUGAGGGUUGUAAAGCACUUUCGUUGGGGAGGAAAUGCUCAAAGCUAAUACCUUUGAGAGCUGACGUUAUCCAAAGAAGAAGCACCGGCAAACUCUGUGCCAGCAGCCGCGGUAAUACAGAGGGUGCAAGCGUUAAUCGGAGUUACUGGGCGUAAAGGGCGCGUAGGCUGAUGUUUAAGUUAAUUGUGAAAUCCCUGGGCUUAACCUAGGAAUUGCAGUUAAUACUGGACAUCUAGAGUAUGGUAGAGGAAAGUGGAAUUCUCGGUGUAGUGGUUAAAUACGUAGAUAUCGAGAAGAACACCGGUGGCGAAGGCGACUUUCUGGACCAAUACUGACGCU
RNAcentral lists this ribosomal RNA (400 nucleotides) under uncultured bacterium. Its description in RNAcentral is "bacterial SSU rRNA". It matches the Rfam family "Bacterial small subunit ribosomal RNA", at positions 355 to 747 of the family's 1533-position model. The record is from RNAcentral.